This 270-nucleotide ribosomal RNA is filed under the name uncultured bacterium. RNAcentral describes it as "partial 16S ribosomal RNA". It matches the Rfam family "Bacterial small subunit ribosomal RNA", at positions 28 to 293 of the family's 1533-position model. The record is from RNAcentral.
GACGAACGCUGGCGGCGUGCUUAACACAUGCAAGUCGAGCGGGGUCCAUCUGGUGGCAACACCAGUGAAGACCUAGCGGCGAACGGGUGAGUAACACGUGAGCAACCUGCCCCAAGUCUGGGAUAAGCCUGGGAAACUGGGUCUAACACCGGAUGCCCUCAUCGGACCGCAUGGCCUGAUGAGGAAAGUUCACGCUUGGGGAGGGGCUCGCGGCCUAUCAGCUUGUUGGUGGGGUAACGGCCUACCAAGGCAUCGACGGGUAGCUGGUCU